UACGUAGGGUGCGAGCGUUGUCCGGAUUUAUUGGGCGUAAAGAGCUCGUAGGCGGUUUGUCGCGUCGGCCGUGAAAUCUCCACGCUUACCGUGGAGCUUGCAGUCGAUACGGGCAGGCUAGAGUUCGGCAGGGGAGACUGGAAUUCCUGGUGUAGCGGUGAAAUGCGCAGAUAUCAGGAGGAACACCGGUGGCGAAGGCGGGUCUCUGGGCCGAUACUGACACUGAGGAGCGAAAGCGUGGGGAGCGAACAGG
RNAcentral lists this ribosomal RNA (253 nucleotides) under uncultured bacterium. Its description in RNAcentral is "partial 16S ribosomal RNA". It matches the Rfam family "Bacterial small subunit ribosomal RNA", at positions 524 to 776 of the family's 1533-position model. The record is from RNAcentral.